AACGCACAUUGCGCCUCUCGGUAUUCCGGGAGGCACGCCUGUUCGAGCGCCAUUACACACCCCAAGCUCAGCUUGAUGUUGGACGCUGUCUGUGAAAGGACAGGUCUGGAACGCGUGGGCGCCGCCGCCGGACCACGAGCGUAGCAAGACGCAAGUCAAUCGCUCUGUGGGCUCACUCGGUGGACGGCCGUCUAGAUGUGGGGUAAGACCUGCGUCGAAAACACAUAACCAAAAGUUUGGCCUCGGAUCAGGCGGGGAUACCCGCUGAACUUAA
This 274-nucleotide unclassified non-coding RNA is filed under the name Sympoventuriaceae sp. RNAcentral describes it as "partial contains 5.8S ribosomal RNA, internal transcribed spacer 2, and large subunit ribosomal RNA". Lineage: Eukaryota; Fungi; Ascomycota; Dothideomycetes; Venturiales; Sympoventuriaceae. The record is from RNAcentral. RNAcentral also lists the same sequence under 3 other names.